This 435-nucleotide ribosomal RNA is filed under the name uncultured Anaerovorax sp. RNAcentral's name for it is "partial 16S ribosomal RNA". It matches the Rfam family "Bacterial small subunit ribosomal RNA", at positions 341 to 792 of the family's 1533-position model. The record is from RNAcentral. Lineage: Bacteria; Bacillati; Bacillota; Clostridia; Peptostreptococcales; Anaerovoracaceae.
ACGGGAGGCAGCAGUGGGGAAUAUUGGGCAAUGGGCGCAAGCCUGACCCAGCAACGCCGCGUGAGCGAAGAAGGUCUUCGGAUUGUAAAGCUCUGUCCUUUGGAACGAAGAAGUGACGGUACCAAAGGAGGAAGCCCCGGCUAACUACGUGCCAUCAGCCGCGUUAAUACGUAGGGGGCAAGCGUUAUCCGUAAUUAUUGGGCGUAAAGAGUACGUAGGUGGUUUUGUAAGCGGGAGGUCAAAGCCUGGGGCUUAACUCCAGCGAGCCUUUCGAACUGCAAGACUUGAGUGCAGGAGGGGAAAGUGGAAUUCCUAGUGUAGCGGUGAAAUGCGUAGAUAUUAGGAGGAACACCAGUUGCGAAGGCGGCUUUCUGGACUGUAACUGACGCUGAGGUACGAAAGCGUGGGGAGCAAACAGGAUUAGAUACCCUGGUA